GUGAGGUCGCAGGAGUAGGUUUAUCAGGAAGUUUGUCGGUUGAAGCACAUUUGACCUUCAGAACUUUGGCCUUUGAACUGGAAUUAUCAUCCUCAUGAACGUCGACCAUCAGAUUCUUGGUUCCACUUUUUUGGAUUUUCUUUGAGAAGAUCUGGGACUGAUCCAAGAUAUCAAUAGAACCCAUAGAUUUUCCUGUAGUCUUUUCCAGAUCAGUGCUUUCUGCUCGUGCCUCCACAUCUUCCCCAUACUUGGGACAAUUCUUGUUAGUUCUCAUGUGACCAAGCUGACCACAGGCUCCACAGACAAAACUGUCUCUUGCUGACUUCUUCUCUUUCAUGGGCUUUAUUCCCUCCCCUAGUAUUUUAACUUUCUUAUUAAACAAUCCAGAGUCCAGAAUAUCAAACUUUUUCUUGGGUUUCACCUUGCUAGAUGGGGUUCUUUUAGUAGCAAACCCUUCAGCCUCUUUCUGAUCUCCAAUGAAAUCCAACACAUUUAGCCCAUUAGACUUUAUGCUUGGCUUGGCAAAUAUCUGAGGUUUUUUGCCCCUAUCAGUGCUUUCAGUACUAAACCUGUAUCUUAUAUCUGGCAUGAAACCAAUUUGUUCGCCCAUGGCUUUGUCCUUUUUUUUCUUCUUCCGAUCAGCUUCAUCAUCAUCCAUGAGCAUGCGGCAUAAUUCUGCAGCUUCAGCUGCCUCAUCCUCGAUCUCCUCUUCCACCUGAGCCUGAAAGGGGCGUCUUCUCAUCUUGAGUCCUUUGACUCCAUCAGCAUUAUCAUGUUUGGGCUCAUGACUACCCUCCUCACCAUCCUCGAAGUCCUCUGCGUCAAGAAGAUUUUCCAAGUCACCAGCAAAUGAGUCCAGGUCACUGUUCACUUCAGAGUCACUCUCAUUUUCUUCACCAUCAACUGCACUAAGAUUUUGGACUUGUCGGUCCCAGAUUUCCUGACAUUUUUCUCUUGUUUGCUGCUGCAGCUGCAAAAAGGACAUACGCUGGCCACGAGCGUAUUUGCUUAUAGUUGUUGGAUCAACUUUCACACCGGAUGCAGCUUGCUCGCUAGAAAGCUUGCGAAUCAUAGCAAUUCGGUGCCACCUUGUUAGUUUAGCAAUCUGCUCCUCUGGAACAUUAAACUUGAGAAGAACCUCGCGUGCAGCUUCCAUGCUCAGUCUUCGUAGGUCUGCAUCAGUGCCUGUUACUGUUGACCCCUUGGCAACAACUGUUUUUUUCUUGGAGAUAGCAUUUGGUAUUGGUGCCUUAGGAGUGGUGCGAACAUAACUGAACCCUAAUCCCCGACCAGAUGGAUCACCGACACCAGUAAUUUCCAGACGCUCAAUAUUUUCUCUGUCCUGACUAGUACAGGCAACAAAGUUACUACUCAAGCUCCAUGGAGUUAUUUGCAGUUCCCUCUCGAUGUGUGAUGCAGCAGCUAAAGCAAUAGCUUCAUCAGGG
Molecule: unclassified non-coding RNA, 1445 nt
Filed under: Hevea brasiliensis (rubber tree)
Lineage: Eukaryota; Viridiplantae; Streptophyta; Magnoliopsida; Malpighiales; Euphorbiaceae
Source: RNAcentral